CUUUCUUUGCUGGCGACCGGCGCACGGGUGAGUAACACGUAUCCAACCUGCCCUUACUCGGGGAUAGCCUUUCGAAAGAAAGAUUAAUACCCGAUAGCAUAAUGAUUCCGCAUGGUUUCAUUAUUAAAGGAUUCCGGUAAAGGAUGGGGAUGCGUUCCAUUAGGUUGUUGGUGAGGUAACGGCUCACCAAGCCUUCGAUGGAUAGGGGUUCUGAGAGGAAGGUCCCCCACAUUGGAACUGAGACACGGUCCAA
Molecule: ribosomal RNA, 253 nt
Filed under: uncultured bacterium
Lineage: Bacteria
Description: partial 16S ribosomal RNA
Rfam family: Bacterial small subunit ribosomal RNA
Source: RNAcentral